CUCAACCUCGGGCUUGCAGUGGGUACGGGCAGACUAGAGUGCGGUAGGGGAGAUUGGAAUUCCUGGUGUAGCGGUGGAAUGCGCAGAUAUCAGGAGGAACACCGAUGGCGAAGGCAGAUCUCUGGGCCGUAACUGACGCUGAGGAGCGAAAGGGUGGGGAGCAAACAGGCUUAGAUACCCUGGUAGUCCACCCCGUAAACGUUGGGAACUAGUUGUGGGGUCCUUUCCACGGAUUCCGUGACGCAGCUAACGCAUUAAGUUCCCCGCCUGGGGAGUACGGCCGCAAGGCUAAAACUCAAAGGAAUUGACGGGGACCCGCACAAGCGGCGGAGCAUGCGGAUUAAUUCGAUGCAACGCGAAGAACCUUACCAAGGCUUGACAUACACGAGAACGGGCCAGAAAUGGUCAACUCUUUGGACACUCGUGAACAGGUGGUGCAUGGUUGUCGUCAGCUCGUGUCGUGAGAUGUUGGGUUAAGUCCCGCAACGAGCGCAACCCUCGUUCUAUGUUGCCAGCACGUAAUGGUGGGAACUCAUGGGAUACUGCCGGGGUCAACUCGGAGGAAGGUGGGG
RNAcentral lists this ribosomal RNA (572 nucleotides) under Microbacterium azadirachtae. RNAcentral describes it as "bacterial SSU rRNA". It matches the Rfam family "Bacterial small subunit ribosomal RNA", at positions 608 to 1178 of the family's 1533-position model. The record is from RNAcentral. Lineage: Bacteria; Bacillati; Actinomycetota; Actinomycetes; Micrococcales; Microbacteriaceae.